RNA transcript from Dermacentor albipictus, 1201 nucleotides. It is a transcript of the gene named DNA replication complex GINS protein PSF2-like protein, with no coding region annotated. Lineage: Eukaryota; Metazoa; Arthropoda; Arachnida; Ixodida; Ixodidae. The record is from RefSeq and is a predicted model, not a curated record.
AUUUCUCGCUACCCACUAUACCUACUCUAGUACACUUCAGUCUAUGCUGCAGAAGAAGCGCAUCGAGUCGAGUUCUGAGUUUGCGCGGCUAGUUUAACCACCGUGUUUUCCAUAGGUGUUCUCGAGCCUACUGAGCUGAGCCAUGGAGUGUGCCGACGCCGAGUUCCUCGCGGAGAAAACGCUGGUUAGCAUUAUUCCCACAUUCAGUGCGGAGAAGCUCUACCUGAUCACUGGCGACGUCGGUCCAUUCGCAGCGGGCACUCCGCUCAACGUUCCCCUUUGGAUGGCCCUCAACCUAAAGCAGAGACAGCAGUGUCGAAUUUUGCCGCCGGCCUGGCUUUGCAAGGAGUUUCUCGAGGAUAAGAAGCAGGACGAGAUGGACUCGGCGGUCUUCACUGAAAUGCCGUGCGAACACUACUUGGAGGUGACGCAGAUGCUGUUCGAUGUCGCCGCUGCCGACAUUCCGGACGCCAGCGAAGUGCGGACACUGGUGAAGGACAUCUGGGACAUCCGGCAGGCCAAGCUGCGCAGCUCGGUAGACGCUUUCGUCAAGAGUGACGAGGUGCACGCCCGGGUCGAUCACCUGACCGUGAUGGAGAUCGUUACCGUCCGCCGCCUCUUCUGUGGUGCUCUCAAUCACCUCAACAAGCUGCGCCAGGCUCGUGCAGACAAGUGUAGUGGACUGGACUCCAGACAUUCAGAGCAGCACGCACAUCGUCUUCUUCAUAAGCAGGCGAAAAGCACCUGACUCUGUACUUCUGGCUGCAUAUAUGCCCUUGCCUGAAACUAAACCCCAAUGGGCCCUUUAAGUGAAUUUUUUAAGGAGACGGAAUCAAAGUUCCCGGACCUGAUGUGAUACAUGGCAGCUGGACGGCUAAUCUGCAGAAAAACCUUGUUGAAUUCCUGAACCUUGGAAAUUAAGGACCGUGUGAUGGGGCACCACCAUUGUCACAAAGCCAAACAUUCUAGGUGCUGUCACGCAAGAGUGUAUGAGACAAGUCAAGCUUUAUUUUUGCAUGUGUAAGCACUGUUGAAAUGCUUAGUCUUCAAGGAGCAUCUCAACCAUGUCCUUUUCCUGGCACUGUACGUCAUCUAACCUCCGAGCCUGUAAAAAUGGGAAAGAAAGCAAGGUGACCAAGUAUGCUAUAGUCUCUGUCUUGACACAUUGUGAUAAUCAAAUUAAAUGCAGUGAGCAAUAUCA